Molecule: long non-coding RNA, 420 nt
Filed under: Ixodes scapularis (black-legged tick)
Lineage: Eukaryota; Metazoa; Arthropoda; Arachnida; Ixodida; Ixodidae
Description: uncharacterized LOC120839831
Source: RNAcentral
CCUUUGGGAGGGCAAGUGCCGCCUUUUCUUGUUUUCCCCCUCUCGCUCCCGGCCACCGCCGCCAUUUUGCCUCCCCGAUCGGCUGCCGAUGCACGCGUGGGAUCGCUGAACUGGCUUGUUCUUUUGCAAAUGCCGGGUUGCUGCUUGCCGCAGUGUUCGAAUCACUCGGAGAAUGGGUGGAAGGUGUACGGCAUCCCAACAAACGCCAAACGGAGGCUUCUGGCGCUCGUACAGAUAAAGCGCGACGACUGGGAGCCGAGCCGUUUGUCGUCUGCGUGCGGCAUUAAGGCUUCUUCGACUUGGUACUGCAAUGAACCGCCGCAAAUAACUUCCGCUGGUCAUGGUCGAGGAGCGGCAUGGAAAGCAUCUGCGAGUCCUGUUUUUUGUAUAUAUCAAGCUGCUGUGUCAAAUAAAUCCUAG